RNAcentral lists this long non-coding RNA (1216 nucleotides) under Homo sapiens (human). RNAcentral describes it as "HSALNT0305740". Lineage: Eukaryota; Metazoa; Chordata; Mammalia; Primates; Hominidae. The record is from RNAcentral.
AUCAAGGUAUUAACUGGGGGGAAAAAAGAAAGAAAGAAAAAAAAGGGUUACAGAGAACCCUGCUUGACUGAAGGGACUUCGCACACUGCCAUUUUACCCACACACUGAUAGAAGAAAAUGCUUCAAGGAGAACUCAUUUACCCAGAUAACUUCCUUUAAUUAGGAAAUUUCAAAAAAUUCCCUGAAUGGUUUAGAUAAUAUGUUUGUCCAAUCAUGACUUCACAAGGGAUCUGAAGCAACGUAGUUCUGGUCCAGAACUGUCAGUGCUGAGGAGAUUCCCAGUGUCCACAGCUGCUGCUCCCAAGCUCACUGCUGGUCUUUCUCUAGACUCUCUUCCUGGGCAUUAACUUGAAAGAAGCUGAAGUUUGUUAGCUCUGUGACUCUACCUGGAGCUCCAGCCUUACACAUCCCAAUCAGGAUGGGGCAUCUCCCUGGCUCGACAAGCCACAGGGGCUCCAAAACUGCCUGACUUUUCAUCUCCCACUCCCAUGGAACGUUCUCAUACACAGUGUUCUGUUACUGGCACUGUUGCUCCACCACUCACCCAGGCCUAGCCUCCUGCCUCUCUAACAGCCAAUGGCGACCAAGUCCUAGCAGUCCUAUCUCUAAAGGUCCUCGCUAUCUGUCAUCUCCCCUUCAUUUUCCCAGUUACUCCAGUUACUGUCCUACUGAAGGACCCCCAUCCCAUCUGGGCUACUAUAACCACAUGGACCAUCCCUUGCUUCAAUCAUAGAAUUCUUUCUUCAGAUCAAAGUAUAUUCAGACACUCGAUACAGUAACAAAAGCAAGCUAUCCUGGAAGGAAGAAGGAAUCAGGAGGCAGAGCACAUGGUUAAAGCAUGAGAUGUGAAACCAGGAAGAACCAGGUCUGAACCUUAGCUCCACCAGUGGUAGCUUCAAACCUUGGUCCUUUCUGAGCCUGCUUCUUCAACCGUAAGGAACUCGGAAACGGGACCCAGAAAGUUGUUUUCUCAAGUGGAUGGAACAACACAAGCAAUCAGUAUCCUGAAACAGGCCCUGUUCCAACAAACUGACCCAGAAAGGUCUGGUUAGGAGGACAGGACCCUCACUAUACACUAUCACAUUUAAACUAAAAGGAUAUUAUGAAUUAUGUACACAUAUCAAGCUGAGAGGAAAGGAAAUCCUAUCAUCUUGCAGGCUUCCUAAUGAUCUUACUUAAAACUGAGUUACUGCAACAAUAACGUGUAUUCCACUUA